CGUUGCGAUCAUACCAGCACUAAUGCACCGGAUCCCAUCAGAACUCCGCAGUUAAGCGUGCUUGGGCGAGAGUAGUACUAGGAUGGGUGACCCCCUGGGAAGUCCUCGUGUUGCAACCC
RNAcentral lists this ribosomal RNA (119 nucleotides) under Helianthus annuus (common sunflower). Lineage: Eukaryota; Viridiplantae; Streptophyta; Magnoliopsida; Asterales; Asteraceae. The record is from RNAcentral.